UACAGAGGGGGCAAGCGUUAUUCGGAAUUAUUGGGCGUAAAGGGCGCGUAGGCGGCCUGGCAAGUGGAUGGUGAAAUCCCUCGGCUUAACCGAGGAACUGCCAUCCAGACUGCUUGGCUUGAGACCGGGAGAGGUGAGUGGAAUUCCCAGUGUAGCGGUGAAAUGCGUAGAUAUUGGGAGGAACACCAGUGGCGAAGGCGGCUCACUGGACCGGUACUGACGCUGAUGCGCGAAAGCGUGGGAGCAAACGGG
RNAcentral lists this ribosomal RNA (252 nucleotides) under uncultured bacterium. RNAcentral's name for it is "partial 16S ribosomal RNA". It matches the Rfam family "Bacterial small subunit ribosomal RNA", at positions 524 to 776 of the family's 1533-position model. The record is from RNAcentral.